This 165-nucleotide small RNA is filed under the name Xanthomonas campestris pv. campestris. RNAcentral describes it as "ncRNA of unknown function". The record is from RNAcentral. Lineage: Bacteria; Pseudomonadati; Pseudomonadota; Gammaproteobacteria; Lysobacterales; Lysobacteraceae.
AUGGAGUUAAAGCCCUCUCCCGCCGGGAAAGGGGUUGGGGUGAGGGUACGGGGCGAAGCCAGACGUGCACUCAAACUUCACCAGGCUUCGCACGUCCCCUCAUUCGCCCCUGGGGCACCUUCUCCCGAUGGGAGAAGGGAAGCGCCUGGCCUGUGUCUGGCACAA